This 496-nucleotide ribosomal RNA is filed under the name uncultured bacterium. Its description in RNAcentral is "partial 16S ribosomal RNA". It matches the Rfam family "Bacterial small subunit ribosomal RNA", at positions 28 to 506 of the family's 1533-position model. The record is from RNAcentral.
GAUGAACGCUGGCGGCGUGCCUAAUACAUGCAAGUCGAGCGAACGGACGAGAAGCUUGCUUCUCUGAUGUUAGCGGCGGACGGGUGAGUAACACGUGGAUAACCUACCUAUAAGACUGGGAUAACUUCGGGAAACCGUAGCUAAUACCGGAUAAUAUUUUGAACCGCAUGGUUCAAAAGUGAAAGACGGUCUUGCUGUCACUUAUAGAUGGAUCCGCGCUGCAUUAGCUAGUUGGUAAGGUAACGGCUUACCAAGGCAACGAUGCAUAGCCGACCUGAGAGGGUGAUCGGCCACACUGGAGCUGAGACACGGUCCAGACUCCUACGGGAGGCAGCAGUAGGGAAUCUUCCGCAAUGGGCGAAAGCCUGACGGAGCAACGCCGCGUGAGUGAUGAAGGUCUUCGGAUCGUAAAACGCUGUUAUUAGGGAAGAACAUAUGUGUAAGUAACUGUGCACAUCUUGACGGUACCUAAGCAGAAAGCCACGGCUAACUACGU